Molecule: ribosomal RNA, 497 nt
Filed under: uncultured bacterium
Lineage: Bacteria
Description: partial 16S ribosomal RNA
Rfam family: Bacterial small subunit ribosomal RNA
Source: RNAcentral
GAUGAACGCUGGCGGCGUGCCUAAUACAUGCAAGUCGAGCGAACAGACGAGGAGCUUGCUCCUCUGACGUUAGCGGCGGACGGGUGAGUAACACGUGGAUAACCUACCUAUAAGACUGGGAUAACUUCGGGAAACCGGAGCUAAUACCGUAUAAUAUCUUGAACCGCAUUGUUCAUUAGUGAAAUACGGUUUUUCUGUCACUUAUAGAUGGAUCCGCGCCGCAUUAGCUAGUUGGUAAGGUAACGGCUUACCAAGGCAACGAUGCGUAGCCGACCUGGGAGGGGGGUAGGCCACACGGGAACUGAGACACGGUCCAGACGCCUAAGGGAGGCAGCAGUAGGGAAUCUUCCGCAAUGGGCGAAAGCCUGACGGAGCAACGCCGCGUGAGUGAUGAAGGUCUUCGGAUCGUAAAACUCUGUUAUUAGGGAAGAACAAAUGUGUAAGUAACUAUGCACGUCUUGACGGUACCUAAUCAGAAAGCCACGGCUAACUACGUG